This 496-nucleotide ribosomal RNA is filed under the name uncultured bacterium. Its description in RNAcentral is "partial 16S ribosomal RNA". It matches the Rfam family "Bacterial small subunit ribosomal RNA", at positions 28 to 506 of the family's 1533-position model. The record is from RNAcentral.
GAUGAACGCUGGCGGCGUGCCUAAUACAUGCAAGUCGAGCGAACAGACGAGGAGCUUGCUCCUCUGACGUUAGCGGCGGACGGGUGAGUAACACGUGGAUAACCUACCUAUAAGACUGGGAUAACUUCGGGAAACCGGAGCUAAUACCGGAUAAUAUAUUGAACCGCAUGGUUCAAUAGUGAAAGACGGUUUUGCUGUCACUUAUAGAUGGAUCCGCGCCGCAUUAGCUAGUUGGUAAGGUAACGGCUUACCAAGGCAACGAUGCGUAGCCGACCUGAGAGGGUGAUCGGCCACACUGGAACUGAGACACGGUCCCGACUCCUACGGGAGGCCGCAGGAGGGAAUCUUCCGCAAUGGGCGAAAGCCUGACGGAGCCACGCCGCGUGAGUGAUGAAGGUCUUCGGAUCGUAAAACUCUGUUAUUAGGGAAGAACAAAUGUGUAAGUAACUAUGCCCGUCUUGACGGUACCUAAUCAGAAAGCCACGGCUAACUACGU